CAAAAUGACUCUYGGCAACNGAUAUCUCGGCUCUCGCAUCGAUGAAGAACGUAGCGAAAUGCGAUACUUGGUGUGAAUUGCAGAAUCCAGCGAACCAUCGAGUCUUUGAACGCAAGUUGCGCCCGAAKCCUUCGGGCCAAGGGCACGUCUGCCUGGG
This 157-nucleotide ribosomal RNA is filed under the name Fagonia scoparia. Its description in RNAcentral is "5.8 ribosomal RNA". It matches the Rfam family "5.8S ribosomal RNA". From Rfam's summary of the family: 5.8S ribosomal RNA (5.8S rRNA) is a component of the large subunit of the eukaryotic ribosome. It is transcribed by RNA polymerase I as part of the 45S precursor that also contains 18S and 28S rRNA. The record is from RNAcentral. Lineage: Eukaryota; Viridiplantae; Streptophyta; Magnoliopsida; Zygophyllales; Zygophyllaceae.